CAUGCAAGUCGAACGGGCGUAGCAAUACGUCAGUGGCAGACGGGUGAGUAACGCGUGGGAACGUGCCCUUCGGUUCGGAACAACCCAGGGAAACUUGGGCUAAUACCGGAUACGCCCUUACGGGGAAAGAUUUAUCGCCGAAGGAUCGGCCCGCGUCUGAUUAGCUUGUUGGUGGGGUAACGGCCCACCAAGGCGACGAUCAGUAGCUGGUCUGAGAGGAUGAUCAGCCACACUGGGACUGAGACACGGCCCAGACUCCUACGGGAGGCAGCAGUGGGGAAUAUUGGACAAUGGGCGCAAGCCUGAUCCAGCCAUGCCGCGUGAGUGAUGAAGGCCUUAGGGUUGUAAAGCUCUUUCGGCGGGGAAGAUAAUGACG
RNAcentral lists this ribosomal RNA (376 nucleotides) under uncultured bacterium. RNAcentral's name for it is "bacterial SSU rRNA". It matches the Rfam family "Bacterial small subunit ribosomal RNA", at positions 54 to 456 of the family's 1533-position model. The record is from RNAcentral.